Molecule: long non-coding RNA, 1542 nt
Filed under: Carassius auratus (goldfish)
Lineage: Eukaryota; Metazoa; Chordata; Actinopteri; Cypriniformes; Cyprinidae
Description: lncRNA (ENSCARG00000001192.1)
Source: RNAcentral
AUGGACACCGCAAGAAGAAGCAACAUUAAAAUCGACAACCAAAAAGACUUUGGAUUUUUCACAGAUGAAAAGUUGUUUGAUUUUUUCUGUCAAAACAAGGUAAAGAUGUCAACAAUAGAAAAGCCGUUGAUGCUCCUCCGACAUCUCAAGGACAAUAGACUCAUUACAGAUGAGCUUUAUCAAAAGCUUGAGAACACUGGUGGAGAUAAUGAUAUGUACAGUGCAUUGGAGUACAUUGAAAAACGUGGAAAGAAGAAUGUUAGAAAGUUCUGGGAACGUGUGGCCCAGGAGCACAUAUUACAGCGUUACUCUCAACUCUCUGAAAUCACUGCAGCUCUGAUGGACUCUCUUGAGGGUCAGCCAAAGAAAAUAAUAAGAGAAAGAGUCGAGGAUCGAAGCACAGGAAAAGAAAGAGAGGUUAAAAAGAGAAAGACAGAGAGCAACUCUGUGAGUGACCAAGCUGGACCAUCAUCAUCAAGCAUCAGCAGCCAGAGGACGACAGAUGAACAUGUGAAGAGAGAUUCUCCAGAUCUUCCGAGCUCUCCAGACUCCAGCACAGAAUUGCCGUUUUCCCAUCCGUCCGUGCACUGUAAAGCAGAGGAAAUCUGGAACAUGGAUAAACACAAGAGAUUUCUUCCUGUCACAUGUGGGGAUAAACAGGCCUUAUUGGACAGAGAUGCAUUGUAUGAGAGAAAGAGGGACUGCAUUAAAUGUGACACAGGAAUGAUCUCACCUUUUCUAUUUGAGGAAAUGGGUGGAAAAGAAACACACAAGUCCUGGAAAACAAGUAUAUUAUGCCAAGGCAUAACCCUCAAGACUCUGAUUGAGAUGAAUAUUUUGAAGUUACCCAAACAUAAAGGAAAGUUUACACUUCGUAAAUGAUGUGCCGUGCAUCACAUUAUUUAGCAUUUUCAGUCAGUGAAUAUACUUACUACAAAUUUUGAAAAAUAUCCAACCUAUUUUAGUGCAAUUUUAGCCAUUUGUAACUUGAUUUUACAAGGCUUUCACUUUCAGUUAUUCUACUGGUAAAAAAUAAAUAAAUAAAUAAAUAAAUAAAACAUCUCGUUUUGCUUCUUGAAAUAGCACACUGGUUUCUGUUAUUAAUUCUAACAAUCAUAAAUGCACAUAUAAUACAAAUGUUUAACUAAAAUUUAUUAAAACUCAAAUUUUGUCAUGAUAAAAUGUGGAUUAGAUUUUUAUUCAACCUAGAUUAGUCAAGUGUGUGUGGGUGUGUGUGUAUAUGUGUGUUUGUCUCUAUCUAUCUGUUUCUAUCUAUCUACACUGAAAAAAAAAAGAUUUGUUGGAUUUACUCAACUGAAUUAUGGACAUUAGUUCCACACAUUCAGUUUGAGUUCAGAGUAUCCUAUGCAUUUAUGCGGUUUCAUUAUAAUAUGGUUGUGUUAAUCAUAUGCAAUUUCAAAAAGUAAUGUGUACAUAAUCUUUUUAAGUUAUACUUACAUAAUUCAGUUACGUUAGUUUAACAUUAAUAUUUUAUUUCAGAUAUAUGCUUCUAUCAUGUUAAUCCUGUGCAAUUAAAUCAAG